GCGCAGAUGGUGAAAUUGGUAGACACGCUACUUUGAGGGGGUAGUGCCGGUUACGGUAUGUGAGUUCGAGUCUCAUUCUGCGCA
Molecule: transfer RNA, 84 nt
Filed under: Paludibacter sp.
Lineage: Bacteria; Pseudomonadati; Bacteroidota; Bacteroidia; Bacteroidales; Paludibacteraceae
Description: tRNA-Leu
Rfam family: tRNA
About the family: Transfer RNA (tRNA) molecules are approximately 80 nucleotides in length. Their secondary structure includes four short double-helical elements and three loops (D, anti-codon, and T loops).
Source: RNAcentral